CCUGCCCAAGAGAUCGGGAUAACACCUGGAAACAGAUGCUAAUACCGGAUAACAACAGAUGAUGCCUAUCAAACUGUUUUAAAAAGAUGGGUUCUGCUAUCACUCUUGGAUGGACCUGCGGUGCAUUAGCUAGUUGGUAGGGUAACGGCCUACCAAGGCGAUGAUGCAUAGCCGAGUUGAGAGACUGAUCGGCCACAUUGGGACUGAGACACGGCCCAAACUCCUACGGGAGGCAGCAGCC
This 241-nucleotide ribosomal RNA is filed under the name uncultured Lactobacillus sp. RNAcentral's name for it is "partial 16S ribosomal RNA". It matches the Rfam family "Bacterial small subunit ribosomal RNA", at positions 125 to 355 of the family's 1533-position model. The record is from RNAcentral. Lineage: Bacteria; Bacillati; Bacillota; Bacilli; Lactobacillales; Lactobacillaceae.